GUGGGGAAUCUUAGACAAUGGGGGAAACCCUGAUCUAGCCAUGCCGCGUGAGCGAUGAAGGCCUUAGGGUUGUAAAGCUCUUUCAGCUGGGAAGAUAAUGACGGUACCAGCAGAAGAAGCCCCGGCUAACUCCGUGCCAGCAGCCGCGGUAAUACGGAGGGGGCUAGCGUUGUUCGGAAUUACUGGGCGUAAAGCGCGCGUAGGCGGACCAGAAAGUUGGAGGUGAAAUCCCAGGGCUCAACCUUGGAACUGCCUUCAAAACUCCUGGUCUGGAGUUCGAGAGAGGUGAGUGGAAUUCCGAGUGUAGAGGUGAAAUUCGUAGAUAUUCGGAGGAACACCAGUGGCGAAGGCGGCUCACUGGCUCGAUACUGACGCUGAGGUGCGAAAGCGUGGGGAGCAAAAAGGAUUAGAAACCCUAGUAGUCC
Molecule: ribosomal RNA, 425 nt
Filed under: uncultured bacterium
Lineage: Bacteria
Description: partial 16S ribosomal RNA
Rfam family: Bacterial small subunit ribosomal RNA
Source: RNAcentral